AGUUUGAUCCUGGCUCAGAUUGAACGCUGGCGGCAGGCCUAACACAUGCAAGUCGAGCGGUAGAGAGAAGCUUGCUUCUCUUGAGAGCGGCGGACGGGUGAGUAAUGCCUAGGAAUCUGCCUGGUAGUGGGGGAUAACGUUCGGAAACGGACGCUAAUACCGCAUACGUCCUACGGGAGAAAGCAGGGGACCUUCGGGCCUUGCGCUAUCAGAUGAGCCUAGGUCGGAUUAGCUAGUUGGUGGGGUAAUGGCUCACCAAGGCGACGAUCCGUAACUGGUCUGAGAGGAUGAUCAGUCACACUGGAACUGAGACACGGUCCAGACUCCUACGGGAGGCAGCAGUGGGGAAUAUUGGACAAUGGGCGAAAGCCUGAUCCAGCCAUGCCGCGUGUGUGAAGAAGGUCUUCGGAUUGUAAAGCACUUUAAGUUGGGAGGAAGGGCAGUAAAUUAAUACUUUGCUGUUUUGACGUUACCGACAGAAUAAGCACCGGCUAACUCUGUGCCAGCAGCCGCGGUAAU
RNAcentral lists this ribosomal RNA (519 nucleotides) under uncultured bacterium. RNAcentral's name for it is "bacterial SSU rRNA". It matches the Rfam family "Bacterial small subunit ribosomal RNA", at positions 10 to 524 of the family's 1533-position model. RNAcentral also lists the same sequence under 1 other name. The record is from RNAcentral.